This 1367-nucleotide ribosomal RNA is filed under the name uncultured Bacteroidota bacterium. Its description in RNAcentral is "bacterial SSU rRNA". It matches the Rfam family "Bacterial small subunit ribosomal RNA", at positions 29 to 1395 of the family's 1533-position model. The record is from RNAcentral. Lineage: Bacteria; Pseudomonadati; Bacteroidota.
AUGAACGCUAGCGGCAGGCCUAAUACAUGCAAGUCGAGGGGUAAGAGUCAGCUUGCUGACUACACGACCGGCGCACGGGUGCGUAACGCGUAUGCAACCUACCUUUAACAGAGGAAUAGCCCCGAGAAAUCGGGAUUAAUACCACAUAACAUUAUGAUAUGGCAUCAUAUUAUAAUUAAAACUCCGGUGGUUAAAGAUGGGCAUGCGUGACAUUAGCUAGUUGGUGAGGUAACUGCUCACCAAGGCUACGAUGUCUAGGGGUUCUGAGAGGAUGAUCCCCCACACUGGUACUGAGACACGGACCAGACUCCUACGGGAGGCAGCAGUAAGGAAUAUUGCGCAAUGGAGGCAACUCUGACGCAGCCAUGCCGCGUGCAGGAUUGAAGGCCUUAUGGGUCGUAAACUGCUUUUAUUUAGGAAUAAACUUUCGUACGUGUACGAAACUGAAGGUACUAAACGAAUAAGCACCGGCUAACUCCGUGCCAGCAGCCGCGGUAAUACGGAGGGUGCAAGCGUUAUCCGGAUUUAUUGGGUUUAAAGGGUGCGCAGGCGGACCAAUUAGUCAGUGGUGAAAUCCCGAGGCUCAACCUCGGAACUGCCAUUGAUACUGUUGGUCUUGAAUACGGGUUGAAGUAGGCGGAAUGUAGCAUGUAGCGGUGAAAUGCAUAGAGAUGCUACAGAACACCGAUCGCGAAGGGCAGCUUACUAAACCGAUAUUGACGCUCAGGCACGAAAGCGUGGGGGAGCGAACAGGAUUAGAUACCCUGGUAGUCCACGCCGUAAACUAUGAUCACUCGUUGUUGGCAAUACACAGUCAGUGACCAAGCGAAAGCGAUAAGUGAUCCACCUGGGGAGUACGAUCGCAAGGUUGAAACUCAAAGGAAUUGACGGGGGCCCGCACAAGCGGUGGAGCAUGUGGUUUAAUUCGAUGAUACGCGAGGAACCUUACCUGGGCUCAAAUGUAAGUUGACAGUUUCUGAAAGGGAAUUUUCUUCGGACAAUUUACAAGGUGCUGCAUGGUUGUCGUCAGCUCGUGCCGUGAGGUGUCGGGUUAAGUCCCAUAACGAGCGCAACCCCUACUCUUAGUUGCCAUCAGAUAAUGCUGGGGACUCUAGGAGAACUGCCUACGCAAGUAGAGAGGAAGGUGGGGAUGACGUCAAAUCAGCACGGCCCUUACGUCCAGGGCUACACACGUGCUACAAUGGCCGGUACAGAGGGCAGCCACCUGGUGACAGGGAGCGAAUCUCUAAAGCCGGUCUCAGUUCGGAUCGAAGUCUGCAACCCGACUUCGUGAAGCUGGAAUCGCUAGUAAUCGCGCAUCAGCCAUGGCGCGGUGAAUACGUUCCCGGGCCUUGUACACACCGCCC